UACGUAGGGGGCAAGCGUUGUCCGGAAUGAUUGGGCGUAAAGGGCGCGUAGGCGGCCGCAGAAGUCUGAAGUGAAAUACCCGCUUUCAAGGUGGGCACUGCUUUGGAAACUGAGCGGCUUGAGUGCAGGAGAGGUCAGUGGAAUUCCCAGUGUAGCGGUGAAAUGCGUAGAGAUUGGGAGGAACACCAGUGGCGAAGGCGACUGACUGGACUGUAACUGACGCUGAGGCGCGAAAGUGUGGGGAG
Molecule: ribosomal RNA, 245 nt
Filed under: uncultured Bacillota bacterium
Lineage: Bacteria; Bacillati; Bacillota
Description: uncultured Firmicutes bacterium partial 16S ribosomal RNA
Rfam family: Bacterial small subunit ribosomal RNA
Source: RNAcentral